GACGUAGGGGGCGAGCGUUGUCCGGAUUUAUUGGGCGUAAAGCGCGCGUAGGCGGCUGCGCAAGUCGGUUGUGAAACCCCGGGGCUCAACCCCGGAACUGCAUCCGAUACUGCGUGGCUAGAGGUAGGUAGGGGAGAUCGGAAUUCCUGGUGUAGCGGUGAAAUUCGUAGAUAUUCGGAGGAACACCAGUGGCGAAGGCGGCUCACUGGCUCGGUACUGACGCUGAGGUGCGAAAGCGUGGGGAGCAAACAGG
This 253-nucleotide ribosomal RNA is filed under the name uncultured bacterium. RNAcentral describes it as "partial 16S ribosomal RNA". It matches the Rfam family "Bacterial small subunit ribosomal RNA", at positions 524 to 776 of the family's 1533-position model. The record is from RNAcentral.